AUAAAGGGUCAGUUGGCUAAAUAUGCCAUGUCCUCUUUUGAUAAGUGGAUACUGUAUGGCUAUCAAGACAUAUGGCUGACAAAAUUUCUGGAGCUCAAAAGGGUUGGCUUGCUUAGCCCACCCUA
Cajanus cajan (pigeon pea) is the source of this 125-nucleotide non-coding RNA. Lineage: Eukaryota; Viridiplantae; Streptophyta; Magnoliopsida; Fabales; Fabaceae. The record is from Rfam.